UACAAUUAAGUAUAAAAUGUACAUGAAUUUUUGAUAUUUAAGGAAUUGGUAAUUGGCCAUUAAUUGUAA
Molecule: transfer RNA, 69 nt
Filed under: Apogonia splendida
Lineage: Eukaryota; Metazoa; Arthropoda; Insecta; Coleoptera; Scarabaeidae
Description: tRNA-Gln
Source: RNAcentral